AAUGGCGCAUACAAAGAGAAGCGACCUCGCGAGAGCAAGCGGACCUCACAAAGUGCGUCGUAGUCCGGAUCGGAGUCUGCAACUCGACUCCGUGAAG
This 97-nucleotide ribosomal RNA is filed under the name Oryza sativa Indica Group (long-grained rice). RNAcentral's name for it is "rRNA SSU_rRNA_eukarya". It matches the Rfam family "Bacterial small subunit ribosomal RNA", at positions 1229 to 1325 of the family's 1533-position model. Lineage: Eukaryota; Viridiplantae; Streptophyta; Magnoliopsida; Poales; Poaceae. The record is from RNAcentral.